CCUACGGGUGGCAGCAGUAGGGAAUAUUGCUCAAUGGCGGAAACGCUGAAGCAGCAACGCCGCGUGGAGGAUGAAGGUUUUCGGAUUGUUAACUCCUUUUUUUAGAGAAGAUAAUGACGGUAUCUAACGAAUAAUCACCGUACAACUACGUGACAGCAGCCGUGGUAAUGUGGAGGGUGCAACCGUUACUCGGAAUAACUGGGCGUUAACAGGUGUUAGGGGGUAUAGCAAGUCUGAUGUGAAAUCCUAUGGCUUAACCAUAGAACUGCAGUUGAAACUGUUAUUCUAGAGUAUGGGAGAGGUAGGUGGAAUUGUUGGUGUAGGGGUAAAAUCCGUAGAGAUCAAGAGGAAUACUCAUUGCGAAGGCAGCCUGCUAGAACAUAACUGACGCUGAUGCGCGAAAGCGUGGGGAGCGAACAGGAUUAGAUACCCGAGUAGUC
Molecule: ribosomal RNA, 440 nt
Filed under: uncultured bacterium
Lineage: Bacteria
Description: partial 16S ribosomal RNA
Rfam family: Bacterial small subunit ribosomal RNA
Source: RNAcentral